UACGUAGGGGCCGAGCGUUGUCCGGAGUUAUUGGGCGUAAAGCGCGCGCAGGCGGCUUGACGCGCCCGACGUGAAAGCCCCCGGCUUAACCGGGGAGGGUCGUCGGGUACGGUCAGGCUUGAGGGCGGGAGAGGGUGGUGGAAUUCCCGGUGUAGUGGUGAAAUGCGUAGAGAUCGGGAGGAACACCUGUGGCGAAGGCGGCCACCUGGGCCGACCCUGACGCUGAGGCGCGAAGGCGUGGGGAGCAAACAGG
RNAcentral lists this ribosomal RNA (253 nucleotides) under uncultured bacterium. Its description in RNAcentral is "partial 16S ribosomal RNA". It matches the Rfam family "Bacterial small subunit ribosomal RNA", at positions 524 to 776 of the family's 1533-position model. The record is from RNAcentral.